RNAcentral lists this long non-coding RNA (558 nucleotides) under Aotus nancymaae (Ma's night monkey). RNAcentral's name for it is "lncRNA (ENSANAG00000039454.1)". The record is from RNAcentral. Lineage: Eukaryota; Metazoa; Chordata; Mammalia; Primates; Aotidae.
UAGGAAGUUGUUCAUUUUCCAUUCUCAAUUGAAAUAGAAUGUCUGCAGGAGAGGGCUUCCAGUAUUUAGGGCUACAUUGAUGCUUUCAGACUUAAUUGGAAAUAAAAUGCUCUAUUGGUUUAUUUCCUUUUUUCUUUUUUUGCAUUUUAGUUACCAUUAGAGAAUUGUCUGGAAUGAUCAUUAUUUCUGGAAGUUCUAACACAGGUAGCUUAAGAAGAAAUGCCUCUUAUUUAAUGUCAGAUAUCAUGAUUUUUUAAAGGGCUUCUUUGAUAAAGUAAUACCCCAAUAUCUUCUUCCAGUAUUCUAAAUUCCCAGCUUUUUUCAUUCUCCUCUUUCUUCCAUCAGAGGCCACCACUUCCACAGAAGGGACUGGCACUUCUGGAACUGGAUUCAAAACUGGCACCUCUGGGGUGGCACCUGGCACAACAGUUGCCCCUGGAAGUUUCAGCACAGUAACCACAACUUCUCCUGGAGCAAGCAGAACAACUGGGGCUGGACCCACUGCAGGUAAACACUGAUGAACCGCUAACUGCUUCGUAGUAGACAAGGUUGUCUGAA